RNAcentral lists this ribosomal RNA (492 nucleotides) under uncultured bacterium. Its description in RNAcentral is "partial 16S ribosomal RNA". It matches the Rfam family "Bacterial small subunit ribosomal RNA", at positions 29 to 507 of the family's 1533-position model. The record is from RNAcentral.
AGUGAACGCUGGCGGUAGGCCUAACACAUGCAAGUCGAACGGCAGCACAGUAAGAGCUUGCUCUUACGGGUGGCGAGUGGCGGACGGGUGAGGAAUACAUCGGAAUCUACUUUUUCGUGGGGGAUAACGUAGGGAAACUUACGCUAAUACCGCAUACGACCUACGGGUGAAAGCAGGGGAUCUUCGGACCUUGCGCGAUUCAAUGAGCCGAUGUCGGAUUAGCUAGUUGGCGGGGUAAAGGCCCACCAAGGCGACGAUCCGUAGCUGGUCUGAGAGGAUGAUCAGCCACACUGGAACUGAGACACGGUCCAGACUCCUACGGGAGGCAGCAGUGGGGAAUAUUGGACAAUGGGCGAAAGCCUGAUCCAGCCAUACCGCGUGGGUGAAGAAGGCCUUCGGGUUGUAAAGCCCUUUUGUUGGGAAAGAAGAGCAGCAGGUUAAUACCCCGCUGUUUUGACGGUACCAAAAGAAUAAGCACCGGCUAACUUCGUG